This 83-nucleotide transfer RNA is filed under the name Canis lupus familiaris (dog). It matches the Rfam family "tRNA". Rfam says of the family: Transfer RNA (tRNA) molecules are approximately 80 nucleotides in length. Their secondary structure includes four short double-helical elements and three loops (D, anti-codon, and T loops). Further hydrogen bonds mediate the characteristic L-shaped molecular structure. tRNAs have two regions of fundamental functional importance: the anti-codon, which is responsible for specific mRNA codon recognition, and the 3' end, to which the tRNAs corresponding amino acid is attached (by aminoacyl-tRNA synthetases). tRNAs cope with the degeneracy of the genetic code in two manners: having more than one tRNA (with a specific anti-codon) for a particular amino acid; and 'wobble' base-pairing, i.e. permitting non-standard base-pairing at the 3rd anti-codon position. The record is from Rfam by way of RNAcentral. Lineage: Eukaryota; Metazoa; Chordata; Mammalia; Carnivora; Canidae. RNAcentral also lists the same sequence under 1 other name.
GCCUGGAUGGCUCAGUGGUUGAGCAUCUGACUUCAGCUCAGGGCAUGAUCCCGGGGUCCUGGGAUCGAGUCCCGCAUCAGGCU